GGAUUAGAUACCCUGGUAGUCCACGCCGUAAACGAUGUCUACUAGGAGCUCGGUCUUUCGGGACUGUUUUCCAAAGCUAACGCAUUAAGUAGACCGCCUGGGGAGUACGGCCGCAAGGUUAAAACUCAAAUGAAUUGACGGGGGCCCGCACAAGCGGUGGAGCAUGUGGUUUAAUUCGAUGCAACGCGAAGAACCUUACCUACACUUGACAUACAGAGAACUUACUAGAGAUAGUUUGGUGCCUUCGGGAGCUCUGAUACAGGUGCUGCAUGGCUGUCGUCAGCUCGUGCCG
Molecule: ribosomal RNA, 292 nt
Filed under: uncultured bacterium
Lineage: Bacteria
Description: partial 16S ribosomal RNA
Rfam family: Bacterial small subunit ribosomal RNA
Source: RNAcentral